ACCUGAGAGAUCAGGCUUCCCCUUCGGGGGCAAAAUGACAGGUGGUGCAUGGUUGUCGUCAGCUCGUGUCGUGAGAUGUUGGGUUAAGUCCCGCAACGAGCGCAACCCUUAUUGUCAGUUGCCAGCAUUUAGUUGGGCACUCUGGCGAGACUGCCGGUGACAAACCGGAGGAAGGUGGGAAUGACGUCAAAUCAUCAUGCCCCUUAUGACCUGGGCUACACACGUGCUACAAUGGACGGUACAACGAGUCGCGAAACCGCGAGGUCAAGCUAAUCUCUUAAAGCCGUUCUCAGUUCGGAUUGUAGGCUGCAACUCGCCUACAUGAAGUUGGAAUCGCUAGUAAUCGUGGAUCAGCAUGCCACGGUGAAUACGUUCCCGGGUCUUGUACACACCGA
RNAcentral lists this ribosomal RNA (395 nucleotides) under uncultured bacterium. Its description in RNAcentral is "bacterial SSU rRNA". It matches the Rfam family "Bacterial small subunit ribosomal RNA", at positions 997 to 1393 of the family's 1533-position model. The record is from RNAcentral.